Molecule: ribosomal RNA, 253 nt
Filed under: uncultured bacterium
Lineage: Bacteria
Description: partial 16S ribosomal RNA
Rfam family: Bacterial small subunit ribosomal RNA
Source: RNAcentral
UACAGAGGGCUCAAGCGUUGUUCGGAUUCAUUGGGCGUAAAGGGUGCGUAGGUGGCGCCGUAAGUCGGGUGUGAAAUUUCGGAGCUUAACUCCGAAACUGCAUUCGAUACUGCGGUGCUUGAGGACUGGAGAGGAGACUGGAAUUCAUGGUGUAGCAGUGAAAUGCGUAGAGAUCAGGAGGAAGACCAGUGGCGAAGGCGGGUCUCUGGACAGUUCCUGACACUGAGGCACGAAGGCGAGGGGAGCAAACGGG